Syzygium oleosum is the source of this 1624-nucleotide long non-coding RNA. RefSeq lists it as uncharacterized. Lineage: Eukaryota; Viridiplantae; Streptophyta; Magnoliopsida; Myrtales; Myrtaceae. The record is from RefSeq and is a predicted model, not a curated record. The transcript has 2 exons.
CGGCCGCCGUCGCCGGUUUCGCGACGCCGUCUCCGCUCGUUAAUCAGGGAAUCCUCUGUCUCCUCCAGUUUUUGAAUUCGGGAGCCACGAAUAUGCUUACGAGAAUCAAUCGAAAAAUCGGAGCUAAUCUUCGAUGAUUCAUACUUCUGUGUUGCUGAUACAUCGAUUUUGCAUGGGAAAAUUACAUUCAUUCAUUCCAUGCCUACGCUCCAUAUUUGUAAUGCACAUACCAUGUUGAAUAAAAGGUUUCUUGAGAUGUUUUCUAAACAUAUCUUCAUUUGCUGUUUCUCCGCUGUUGUCUCUUUCGUGUACUCCUACGACGGUUGUGGUGGUCUCCGGUGAAGCGAUGGUUCGGAUUCCGAAGGUUCGAGUGUGGAUCACUGGGAGAGUUCGUGUUAAUCCCUUUUCCAUAUUUGUGCACCGGGAAAAUUCUGAGAUGCUGUGAUCGUGAGGGUGAGAUUCCCGGCGAUCGCUUCUCCACGAUCGUUGAAGAGUCUCUAUUUCGCCCUGUUUAGCUGUCUCUGUGUCCGAGAAAUUCAAAGCUCUCGCUUUCGAGACUUCUUCACCGGCGCCGAUCAUCAACAACGACGCGUCUGAGACCUCAACUUGCUAAUAUGAUCGCUGCCCGUGUCAGGUAAGUGCGCCUUGAAAGCAAGGGUUAAUACUCUGUUCUUGAGUUGUUUCCGGGUAAAAACUCUGCUCUGAAUGAAGACAUAUUGAGGAUUUUGGAUUCAAUUAUUGCUAGUUGUGAUGAAUUGAAAUGAAUGGAUGCUUGAGUUUGGAAUAUAAGAUGUUUGGCUGAGAUGCCUGCCACCUACUCGAUUAAAUUCCUGAACAGCAUACUGUUUUUCGCUAUUUUGAUAAUUCUUGACAUAUCAUAAUUGCUUGCCUCGGAUUUAUACAUCACCAAGUAUUGCUCGCCUUUGAUUUGUGGAUUCACGUAUCUCAGCUUCACAUUGUUUUAAAGCCUUGUGCAUGGUCGUUUCUAUUGUAAUCCGUACGAUGUAGUCCUGGUUUAAUCCUGUCUUCAAUGUUCUCGUUGCAUGUGUGAUGAUGAAUGGAGAGGAUAUGAAUCCCAUGGUGCCUGGAGUCGAUUGGCGGUUGUGCUCAGAGUCAUUACCUUCUCGAAUGCACCGCUAAUUCUAUCAUUGACUAUCAGAGCAUGGAUGAAGGUUUCGUAAGGUUGAAGGUCUUGACGAUGCAAAUGACACUAGAAGUGAAGAAAGAAAACAAAUUUCAUUCCAAACAGCAAGUCCAGAAACUUUAAGCGUCAAACAUCUACUGCCUUGGAACUAUUAGGAAAUCUCUCAUUUAAAUGAGAUGGAAGUUUGUGCAUCUAAGGAAUUGCUGGCCUAUAUAAACAGCUGAAUGAAAUGCAAGGGGUUAAUAUUAUGAAAAGAUACUAAAGAAGUUAUAUUGUGGACAAUAUUGCAUAAACAAAUAAAGUUAUGCCAAAUGUGAUCAAGACUCUUCGGCAGCCAAGUGUAAUGCAGGAAUAUAAACAAAUCAGUUGCCUCUUAGAUCGUGCUUAAAUCUCAUUUUUCUCUAAUCUUCUUAGUGUAUUAGUUCUUACCGUUGCCGCGAUUUCUGCUUUGGUUCUAGUUAUAUAAUUCUCUAUUUUGGC